GCGAAGCCAGCGUGUCUUAGGUGGCGGUGCGCAUACGCAGUCCGCGUCAGCAGCCAGCAUCUUCCCUGGGGGCGGAGCUUGUUUUCCUCAGGACUGAGCGGGCGGCGCCAUGGAGGCUCCAGGACAGCGCUGCCUGCGUGUCCGCGGGAGGAGGACGCUCCCCGCCCGCUAUCUGAAGUUACGCCGGUUUCCCACUGCCUGCGCCCGCUCCCUGCCGGGGUGUGUGUGGACCUGACCGAGCUGGGGCCGCGGCCGGCUGGGCAGGAGGGGACGGGUGCGCUGGCGGGCCCGCUUCGACUAUUCUCCUCGCCCGCAGGGAGCCGAUUGAAUCUGACUGAGACAUAACUUCGAUGAGAUCACACUGCUAUAAAACGUCAGUAUUGAAAAUCAAAUAUUUCAUACUAUUUCUCAAUCUUGAAAGAAAGAGUAUUUCCAAAAAAAAAAAAAAGAGGAGUUGUUAAGGAGACAAUGGAAAAGACUUCUAAAUAACUACAGCAUUUGGCCAGUUCACAAUGGAGGAAAUAAUGAACAGCUGUACUCUGAUAGACACUAAAAAAAUUCCUUUUAUGGGCCCCAAGAUCCCUGACAUCACAAGGAAAUGAUUCAUUUACAACUUGGGUAACAGAUCUUACCAAAUGUCCCAGGGAAGAAUUACUCCACGUGGAGACCUACUGCUUAAAAAAAUAAAUAAAUACAUAAAAAACUCUGAGCAACACACCUAGCCACUUAAAAGCAUAAUCCUUCAGCCUCUCUUCCUUGGAAACCUGGUGGAAUCAGUGCUGCAGCUGUCACCCAUUCUCUACGAAAAUCACUGCCUUUGUCUGAAGUAGUAAAGCUGAGAUACUGCACUCAAGAACUCACUACCAAGCAGUGAGCAAUCUCCUCUCUACAAACAUCAUGGACUCAACUCAGGAGCCCUUUAUCCUUUACCCUCUUCCUCCACCCUCUAAGGUAGAUGGAGGUAGUAACCAGAUGUGCUUUAUUCAAUCUAUGGUUUCUGCCAAUAGCCACAUUAGAGAAAUGAAGCUGCUCUUGUUGGUUCAAAAACGGACCCCAUACAUAGAGUGCAAAGAGAGACUGAAGAAAGAGGCAAACCACUCCAGACUGGUAUGUGGCAGGUUUAAUAAGCA
Molecule: long non-coding RNA, 1130 nt
Organism: Camelus dromedarius (Arabian camel)
Lineage: Eukaryota; Metazoa; Chordata; Mammalia; Artiodactyla; Camelidae
Exons: 5
Source: RefSeq, a predicted model, not a curated record